This 466-nucleotide ribosomal RNA is filed under the name uncultured bacterium. Its description in RNAcentral is "bacterial SSU rRNA". It matches the Rfam family "Bacterial small subunit ribosomal RNA", at positions 342 to 793 of the family's 1533-position model. The record is from RNAcentral.
GGGGAGGCAGCAGUGGGGAAGUAUUGCACAAUGGGGGAAACCCUGAUGCAGCCAUGCCGCGUGUGUGAAGAAGGACCUUCGGGUUGUAAAGCACUUUCAGUAGGGAGGAAGGGUAGUGUAGUUAACACCUGCAUUAUUUGACGUUACCUACAGAAGAAGCACCGGCUAACUCCGUGCCAGCAGCCGCGGUAAUACGGAGGGUGCGAGCGUUAAUCGGAAUUACUGGGCGUAAAGCGCAUGCAGGCGGCCUGUUAAGUCAGAUGUGAAAGACCCGGGGCUUAACCUCGGAAUUGCAUUUGAAACUAGGCAGGCUAGAGUCUUGUAGAGGGGGGUAGGAAUUUCAGGUGUAGCGGUGAAAUGCGUAGAGAUCUGAAGGAAUACCAGUGGCGAAGGCGGCCCCCUGGACAAAGACUGACGCUCAGAUGCGAAAGCGUGGGGAGCAAACAGGAUUAGAUACCCCUGGUAG